GAUGAACGCUGGCGGCGUGCUUAACACAUGCAAGUCGAACGGAGUGCCCUUGAAGGAGUUUUCGGACAACGGAUAGGGUUACUUAGUGGCGGACGGGUGAGUAACGCGUGAGUAACCUGCCUUGGAGUGGGGAAUAACAGUUGGAAACAACUGCUAAUACCGCAUGAUGCAGUUGUCUCGCAUGGGAUGACUGCCAAAGAUUUAUCGCUCUGAGAUGGACUCGCGUCUGAUUAGCUGGUUGGCGGGGUAACGGCCCACCAAGGCGACGAUCAGUAGCCGGACUGAGAGGUUGGCCGGCCACAUUGGGACUGAGACACGGCCCAG
This 324-nucleotide ribosomal RNA is filed under the name uncultured bacterium. RNAcentral describes it as "bacterial SSU rRNA". It matches the Rfam family "Bacterial small subunit ribosomal RNA", at positions 28 to 334 of the family's 1533-position model. The record is from RNAcentral.